Molecule: ribosomal RNA, 593 nt
Filed under: Purpureocillium sp. HU-2014
Lineage: Eukaryota; Fungi; Ascomycota; Sordariomycetes; Hypocreales; Ophiocordycipitaceae
Description: LSU rRNA
Rfam family: Eukaryotic large subunit ribosomal RNA
Source: RNAcentral
CUUAAGCAUAUCAAUAAGCGGAGGAAAAGAAACCAACAGGGAUUGCCCCAGUAACGGCGAGUGAAGCGGCAACAGCUCAAAUUUGAAAUCUGGCCCCCCAGGGCCCGAGUUGUAAUUUGCAGAGGAUGCUUUUGGCGCGGCGCCUUCCGAGUUCCCUGGAACGGGACGCCAUAGAGGGUGAGAGCCCCGUCUGGUCGGACGCCUAGCCUGUGUAAAGCUCCUUCGACGAGUCGAGUAGUUUGGGAAUGCUGCUCUAAAUGGGAGGUAUAUGUCUUCUAAAGCUAAAUACCGGCCAGAGACCGAUAGCGCACAAGUAGAGUGAUCGAAAGAUGAAAAGCACUUUGAAAAGAGGGUUAAACAGUACGUGAAAUUGUUGAAAGGGAAGCGCUUGUGACCAGACUUGGGCCCGGUGGAUCAUCCAGCGUUCUCGCUGGUGCACUCCGCCGGGUCCAGGCCAGCAUCAGUUCGCCGCGGGGGAGAAAGGCUUCGGGAACGUGGCUCCUACGGGAGUGUUAUAGCCCGUUGCACAAUACCCUGGGGCGGACUGAGGUUCGCGCUCCGCAAGGAUGCUGGCGUAAUGGUCAUCAGCGACC